RNAcentral lists this ribosomal RNA (480 nucleotides) under uncultured bacterium. RNAcentral's name for it is "partial 16S ribosomal RNA". It matches the Rfam family "Bacterial small subunit ribosomal RNA", at positions 28 to 523 of the family's 1533-position model. The record is from RNAcentral.
GACGAACGCUGGCGGCGUGCUUUAUACAUGCAAGUCGAACGAUGAAGUUCCUUCGGGAAUGGAUUAGUGGCGAACGGGUGAGGAACACGUGAGAAACCUGCCUUCCAUUCUGGGAUAACACCGGGAAACCGGUGCUAAUACCGGGUACUCCGUCUUGGCGGCAUCGCCGAGCCGGGAAAAAAUUUUGAUGAAAGAUGGUCUCGCGGCCUAUCAGCUAGUUGGUGAGGUAAAGGCUCACCAAGGCGACGACGGGUAGCCGGCCUGAGAGGGCGACCGGCCACACUGGGACUGAGACACGGCCCAGACUCCGACGGGAGGCAGCAGUAGGGAAUAUUGGGCAAUGGGCGCAAGCCUGACCCAGCGACGCCGCGUGAGGGAUGAAGGUCUUCGGAUUGUAAACCUCUUUCAGUAGGGAAGAAGCGAAAGUGACGGUACCUAAAGAAGAAGCACCGGCUAACUAUGUGCCAGCAGCCGCGGUAA